GUCCGUACGAGCGCACCCUUGUCCCUAGUUGCCAGCACUUCGGGUGGGAACUCUAGGGAGACUGCCGGUGAUAAACCGGAGGAAGGUGGGGAUGACGUCAAGUCAUCAUGGCCCUUAUGGGGAGGGCUACACACGUGCCACAAUGGCCGGUACAGAGGGCUGCGAAGCCGCGAGGUGGAGCGAAUCUCAGAAAACCGGUCGUAGUCCGGAUUGCAGUCUGCAACUCGACUGCAUGAAGCCGGAAUCGCUAGUAAUCGCGGAUCAGAACGCCGCGGUGAAUACGUUCCCGGGCCUUGUACACACCGCCCGUCACACCAUGGGAGUGGGCUGUACCAGAAGUAGGUAGUCUAACCUUCGGGAGGACGCUUACCACGGUGUGGUUCAUGACUGGGGUGAAGUCGUAACAAGGUAGCCCUAGGGGAACCUGGGGCUGGAUCACCUCCUUU
This 446-nucleotide ribosomal RNA is filed under the name uncultured Chromatiales bacterium. RNAcentral's name for it is "bacterial SSU rRNA". It matches the Rfam family "Bacterial small subunit ribosomal RNA", at positions 1084 to 1533 of the family's 1533-position model. The record is from RNAcentral. Lineage: Bacteria; Pseudomonadati; Pseudomonadota; Gammaproteobacteria; Chromatiales.